RNAcentral lists this ribosomal RNA (506 nucleotides) under uncultured bacterium. RNAcentral describes it as "partial 16S ribosomal RNA". It matches the Rfam family "Bacterial small subunit ribosomal RNA", at positions 28 to 523 of the family's 1533-position model. The record is from RNAcentral.
GAUGAACGCUAGCUACAGGCUUAACACAUGCAAGUCGAGGGGUAACGAGAGGGAAGCUUGCUUUCCUUGUCGACGACCGGCGCACGGGUGAGUAACGCGUAUCCAACCUGCCCCCAACUAAGGAAUAACCUUGCGAAAGUAAGACUAAUACCUUAUAAUAUCCUCAGAUGACAUCUGACGAGGAAUAAAGAUUUAUCGGUUGUGGAUGGGGAUGCGUCUGAUUAGCUUGUUGGCGGGGUAACGGCCCACCAAGGCAACGAUCAGUAGGGGUUCUGAGAGGAAGGUCCCCCACAUUGGAACUGAGACACGGUCCAAACUCCUACGGGAGGCAGCAGUGAGGAAUAUUGGUCAAUGGGCGGAAGCCUGAACCAGCCAAGUAGCGUGCAGGAUGACGGCCCUAUGGGUUGUAAACUGCUUUUAUACAGGAAUAAAGUUAGCCACGUGUGGUUAUUUGUAGGUACUGUAUGAAUAAGGACCGGCUAAUUCCGUGCCAGCAGCCGCAGUAA